This 292-nucleotide ribosomal RNA is filed under the name uncultured bacterium. RNAcentral's name for it is "partial 16S ribosomal RNA". It matches the Rfam family "Bacterial small subunit ribosomal RNA", at positions 505 to 796 of the family's 1533-position model. The record is from RNAcentral.
GUGUCAGCCGCCGCGGUAAGACAGAGGGUGCAAACGUUGCUCGGAAUCACUGGGCAUAAAGCGCACGUAGGCCGUCUACUAAGUCCAAUGUGAAAUCCCCCGGCUCAACCGGGGAACUGCAUCGGAUACUGGUGGACUCGAGAGUUGUAGGGGUGGACGGAACUCCAGGUGGAGCGGUGAAAUGCGUAGAUAUCUGGAGGAACACCGGAGGCGAAAGCGGUCCACUGGGCAACUUCUGACGCUGAGGUGCGAAAGCUAGGGUAGCAAACGGGAUUAGAUACCCCAGUAGUCC